This 195-nucleotide ribosomal RNA is filed under the name uncultured bacterium. Its description in RNAcentral is "partial 16S ribosomal RNA". It matches the Rfam family "Bacterial small subunit ribosomal RNA", at positions 338 to 524 of the family's 1533-position model. The record is from RNAcentral.
CCUACGGGAGGCAGCAGUAGGGAAUAUUGCGCAAUGGGGGAAACCCUGACGCAGCAACGCCGCGUGAGUGAGGAAGGUCUUCGGAUUGUAAAACUCUGUUCUUAGGGAAAAAUGUCCUAGUGGCUAAUAUCCAUUAGGAGUGAUGGUACCUAAGUAGAAAGCACCGGCUAACCUCGUGCCAGCAGCCGCGGUAAU